Molecule: long non-coding RNA, 1405 nt
Organism: Pseudomyrmex gracilis
Lineage: Eukaryota; Metazoa; Arthropoda; Insecta; Hymenoptera; Formicidae
Exons: 5
Source: RefSeq, a predicted model, not a curated record
GCGUAACUUGCGCCAAAUUCCGUCAGCCAAUCAAAUCGUUUCAUCUACUAUAUGCAUAUCCGCUUAGUUAUUUAACGCAUUUUACGCUUUUGCCGAUACGCCAAAUCCAAUUUUUCACGUAAAUCGGUAAUGCAUAUGUAUUAGUGAUGUGUGUGUACGUGCGAUCACCAAGUAUUGUAAUGUAAUUUGACUCACGAAAAUUAGAAAAAAUGGAUCAAAUUCGGCAUAAAUGUGNAUACUGCGGAUGGCUUUUUAGUUUCAAACUUUGUUGAUCAUGACUGCUUUAAACAUUAUAUUGAAGAAGUAGACCACAUUAGAAUUGACGAAAAUCAUGUCGUGACAAUACAUAUGUGACUUUUUAAAAAAGAAAAUUUGGAUGAACUAUUAAUCGAAGCAGUUAGAAGCAAACGUGGGCUGUAUGAUUCUUGUAUACCUGCUUCAGAGAGAACUAUGUUGCGCAAAAAUGCAUUAUAGAUGAAAGUUUCGAAUAUAUUACAAGGAUUUCUCAGUCCAGAGAAAGCUAAAGCUCGAUAGAAGUAUCUGUGAGAUAAUUAUAUAAAAGCUCGCAAGAAGAUUCGAGCAUACAUACCCAGUGGAUCGGCAGCUACUGCUACUAAAACCAAUAAUAACUCGAGGUUUCAAUAUUAUGAGCUUAUGAGAUUCCUGAACGAAUCAUUGCAAACACGACAGAUAGUAAGUUCAUUAUCAGAUGCCAGUGCUAAGAAUGAAGUAGUCACUUCAUUUGACACAGAAAAUGAGCAACACAAAAGUAAUGCUAUAGCUGGACCUUCGAAAGCGCUUCACACACAGAUUUCAGCCAGCAACAAUUCUCCACAGACUUCCUUAUGUGUUCCUUCUCGGACGCCGACACCUACAAAUAUUUCUCUACAGUCGCUCGAUUCUGACGUUUUUUCACAAACCCCGACAUCCACAAAAUAUUUUUCAUCAACUGAAAAUAGAGUACCUACACGAACACAAACUACAAAAUUGAAACGUUUGUUUAUUUAUUAAAUAAAAAGAGCCAAUACGAGCCGUAAACAAAGUAUCCGUGUUUAAAUAUUUUGUUCUAUGUUUAACGUCAAACAAUGUCAACAACGUUUUCAAAACGAUAAAGAUUUUAAAACGUUAAACAUAGAAUAAAUCAUUUAAACACAGACUCUGUUUACGUCUCGUAUUGGCCUUUUUUUAUUUAUUAAAUUUUACAAGCAGAAAUAAAUAAUAAUUUGUUUAUUUAUUUUCAUUUGUCGGAGUUUUUAUAAUUUUUACAGCAAAAAUGACAUUUUAAUUUCUUUGUAGAAUCGGAGCAAAUCUUUUUUGACGAUUACGAGCCGCCUGCAAAAAGUAAAUGUUUUUAAAUUUAAGUUUUUUAUUAUAUUGAUGUACAAUAAAAUAUUUCUAUUAUUAA